Non-coding RNA from Mariannaea sp. PMI_226, 120 nucleotides. The record is from the annotation of a GenBank genome assembly. Lineage: Eukaryota; Fungi; Ascomycota; Sordariomycetes; Hypocreales; Nectriaceae.
GGCCAACUGGUCUAAUGGUUAAGAUGGGAUCCCAAAAUCUGGUCGCCUAUCCCCCGGGCAAUACGGGGGGGUAGGCGACCAGGCCUGAUCCAGAUCUAGGUUCGAUUCCUAGGUUGGCCG